AUUAUUAAGCGGAGGAAAAGAAACUAACUAGGAUUCCCAUAGUAGCUGCGAGCGAACAGGGAAAAGCCCAGCACCGAAUCCCGCGUUUAAAUAUGUAGACGUUAGGAAAUGUGGUGUUAGGGAGGAUACAUUAUCUCAAAAUAUUUAUAAUGCGUCCAAGUCCUUCUUGAACGAGGCCAUUGUCCAUAGAGGGUGCCAGGCCCGUAUAGACCGUUAAAUAUUUUGAGGGUAUCUCUCCUUAGAGUCGGGUUGCUUGAGAGUGCAGCCCUAAGUGGGUGGUAAACUCCAUCUAAGGCUAAAUAUUACCACGAGACCGAUAGCGAACAAGUACCGUGAGGGAAAGUUGAAAAGCACUUUGAAGAGAGAGUUCAAUAGUACGUGAAACCGUUUAGGGGUAAACCUGAGAAACCCGAAAAGUCGAAGGAAGAAAUUCAUUCGCGUUUCGCUAUUGACAAAAUUGUGUAUGCUAGACAAUAAUUGUAUUGAUGUGUUCAUCUUUGUGGUGUGUAUUUUAAUAUAUGUGUUGCUACAUACCUAUUUUAAGUCUGAUGGUGGACGCGUGCAUUUUUCUUCUGGUAGGACGUUGCGAUCCGUUAGGAUAAUUAUCGAUCUAUGAUGUUUUAGUGGUUUAGUUCAUUAGUACAUAUUUAUUUAUGAUAAUAUUAAUGAAGCCAUACAAUCUGAUCGAUCUACCUGACGGUAAUUUAAUGGUUAAAAGUCGCUAUGAAAUAUUAGCGUUAGAGGUUGGACAAGUAUAUAAAUUGUGUAAAGGCAAUAUUAUUAUUCGUAGUAAUGUUGUUCUCGGUAAUCGGUAUUUAUAUCAAUUCCGGGCCGUUUAUUUACUGUUUGUACAACAUAUCUCUAACAGACUUUAUUAUUUUUAAAUAAAACCGAUCA
RNAcentral lists this ribosomal RNA (897 nucleotides) under Platypus calamus. RNAcentral's name for it is "eukaryotic LSU rRNA". It matches the Rfam family "Eukaryotic large subunit ribosomal RNA", at positions 42 to 629 of the family's 3401-position model. The record is from RNAcentral. Lineage: Eukaryota; Metazoa; Arthropoda; Insecta; Coleoptera; Curculionidae.